This 301-nucleotide ribosomal RNA is filed under the name uncultured bacterium. RNAcentral describes it as "partial 16S ribosomal RNA". It matches the Rfam family "Bacterial small subunit ribosomal RNA", at positions 509 to 808 of the family's 1533-position model. The record is from RNAcentral.
CAGCAGCCGCGGUAAUACAGAGGGUGCGAGCGUUAAUCGGAUUUACUGGGCGUAAAGCGUGCGUAGGCGGCUAAUUGAGUCGGAUGUGAAAUCCCCGAGCUUAACUUGGGAAUUGCAUUCGAUACUGGUUAGCUAGAGUGUGGGAGAGGAUGGUAGAAUUCCAGGUGUAGCGGUGAAAUGCGUAGAGAUCUGGAGGAAUACCGAUGGCGAAGGCAGCCAUCUGGCCUAACACUGACGCUGAGGUACGAAAGCAUGGGGAGCAAACAGGAUUAGAGACCCCGUAGUCCCUGUCUCUUAUACA